Molecule: ribosomal RNA, 490 nt
Filed under: uncultured bacterium
Lineage: Bacteria
Description: partial 16S ribosomal RNA
Rfam family: Bacterial small subunit ribosomal RNA
Source: RNAcentral
GAUGAACGCUAGCUACAGGCUUAACACAUGCAAGUCGAGGGGCAGCAUGGUCUUAGCUUGCUAAGGCCGAUGGCGACCGGCGCACGGGUGAGUAACACGUAUCCAACCUGCCGUCUACUCUUGGACAGCCUUCUGAAAGGAAGAUUAAUACAAGAUGGCAUCAUGAGUUCACAUGUUCACAUGAUUAAAGGUAUUCCGGUAGACGAUGGGGAUGCGUUCCAUUAGAUAGUAGGCGGGGUAACGGCCCACCUAGUCUUCAAUGGAUAGGGGUUCUGAGAGGAAGGUCCCCCACAUUGGAACUGAGACACGGUCCAAACUCCUACGGGAGGCAGCAGUGAGGAAUAUUGAUCAAUGGGCGAGAGCCUGAACCAGCCAAGUAGCGUGAAGGAUGACUGCCCUAUGGGUUGUAAACUUCUUUUAUAAAGGAAUAAAGUCGGGUAUGUAUACCCGUUUGCAUGUACUUUAUGAAUAAGGAUCGGCUAACUCCGUG